Molecule: long non-coding RNA, 339 nt
Filed under: Neogobius melanostomus (round goby)
Lineage: Eukaryota; Metazoa; Chordata; Actinopteri; Gobiiformes; Gobiidae
Description: lncRNA (ENSNMLG00000014779.1)
Source: RNAcentral
UUUGUCUAAUAAUUCUCCUGUGUUGAUGUACUACACAACCUUCCAGCAGGGACGGAAGCACUGCCCUCACACACACACAAUUCAAGUUGUGUACAGCUUUGCAGCCCACUGGAUUUUGCCAAAAUGGUGAAAGUCAUGAAUACUCCCCAAGAGAAGAGGGAAGGGGAUCAAAGCAGAGCUGCAAAAAUCAAUACACUUUUGGACAAGAGGGUGGUAGUACUGCCUUCCCACCACUGGAUGAGGCUUCAGUGCAAGUAAAACUGAGAUGAUCUGGACAAGACAGGUGGGGUGAAGGUAUGUUUGUGGGUACUUUGUAAAUGUAACUAUGAACAAGUCACC